This is a non-coding RNA of Oryza barthii, 205 nucleotides long. NCBI's taxonomy places the organism in Eukaryota, Viridiplantae, Streptophyta, Magnoliopsida, Poales, Poaceae. The record is from Rfam.
AAAAAGACAAACCCUGGUUUUCCGUGUCCAACGUUUGACUCUCCGUCUUAUAUAAAAAUUUUUUAUAAUUAGUAUUUUCAUUGUUGUUAGAUGAUAAAACAUGAUUAAUACUUUGUGUACUUGUCUUUUUUUAUUUUUUUCAUAAUUUUCUUAAAUAAGACGGACGGUCAAACGUUGGACACGGAAACCCAAGGUUUGUCUUUUU